CUUCCAUGAUGAGGUUAGUACCCUUUUCAGAAGCGAUACCAAAGAGGUCUUUCUCUGCCAUGUGAGGACACAGCAAGAAGGCGGCCAUCUGCAAGCCAGGGAAAGAGUUCUCACCAGGAGCCAAAUCAGCAGACACUUUGAUCUUGGACUUCCAGUCUCCAGAACUGUGCCGGUCACCAAGUCAGCCUCAAUCUUUCCAACAGAAUCGUAGAACUCCCCUCAGUCUGGAUAAGGACAUCGAGGAAGCUAUCACUCUCCUCUUUUCUAAUUGGAUGCCUCUCUCCUCCUGCUCCAAUCUGGACUGGCUGCUCUCUCCGGUGGCAUAGCUGUCAUCCAAGAUUUCUCUCCACCACCUGAAGCUGCUGUCUCCUGGAUCCCAUGUCUCCUGUCUUCAUGGUUUUCUCCCUUGUCUCGGUAGAAGAACUCAUGUGGUAGCUUUCUGGGUACACAAGAGAUAACACUUUGGAGAUCAUUUAUUUCUGAAAAUGCCUUUAUUCCACCUUCAUCUUUGAUUGAUCGUUUGGAUAUGGAAUCAAGAUUGUACCAAACAAAUCCCAGAAUUCUCUGAGGGCUUGUUUCUUGGGAUCACUCCUGGUACUAAUUCCUAUAUCAGCCAGGAUUCAGUUGGAAAACAGAAAUCACAUUACUUAUUUUAAAGAGGGAAUUUAAUAUACAGAAGGUUAAAUGGGUGUUGGAGAACUGAAGAGGGAAAGGAGAUACGAAGGUAACACAAAGACAAUAACUGUGGGAAGCAGCUAGCAUAUGGGCAACAAGGGAAGGAGCUGGGAUCCUUCGAACCCUGAAGCUUGAAGCAGGAGCUCCAUGGUGCUAAGAUCCAGCCCUCAGGAGAAGAGGUGUUGCAGCCAGUGCUGAGAUCUCUGAGAGCAUUCCUCAAGUCUCAGUAUGUGUUGACUGGCCUUACAAAGGACGAACUGCUCAAAGGCUGAGUGGAAUAGCUGUGUGUGGGCAGGGCUCUCUGAUUGCUGGACGCCACUAUAGGAUAUUCAAGUCACUGAAGCUUACAGACGUUAAAUAACGUACCCCCAGUCAUCAUGCAAUGACUUCUAUCUGUGGGAUUCUUUCCACUAUACCAUGAACGAAAAGGGGAGGAUUUGAGGGUGACAAGGUUGGGAGGGAGGGGCUUCUCUGUGUCCUUGAAUCAAUUGUGAGAGGCUGACCUCUACUGGAUCGUACAGCACUUGAACACCAAAAGGAAGAAAUAGUUUUCCUAGCCUCAAAUGAUUUUUUCUCACAUUUUGGAGAGGAAUCUGUUUAAAAGGUAUGCCAAGUGCCUACUACUUAGAAAAUACUGGACUAAAUGCCAAGGUAAAGCAAAUAGAAAUUGAUUGGACUGUGUAAGUCACAGCAGGGAUGAAAGGCACACCUCCUACGCCCAGUGUGCUCAGCUUCACCAGGGAGGUAUCUCCAAAUAGCACAAGUUCUCUUCCAGAGGAACCGGAAGACCCAGGUCUUGAAAGAAGCAGCCCUUCUCUGGGUUUACACUCCUCAUAUUGUAUCCCAUGUUUUAUAAUAUGCACAUCUGCAUUGCGUCAUUAUUUUUGUCCCAUUGUCCAUUUGUUUUGUGCAACAUUGGUUCUUUAAGCAGCCAUGUUCACUGAGACUCACAUAAAAUGGGUCUGAGAUGUAGAGAACUGCCUCUUAUGAAUGUUUUAUUUACUUAUCUAUCAUUCUUAUCAGUGGCCUUCUCCCCUGUCUCUGGUUACCUUUUUCACUUAGCUAGCCAACUGAGAAUUAGAUGAAGGAUGGAAAUAGAUUGGCAGUUUGCCUUCAGCUGCUAGACAAGGGUUCUUUCUUUCUGUGGUUUAGUUUCACAAAGGGUUUUGUAGGCAUUGGAAGUUUUGGUACAAAGCAGCGCGGCCUAAAGGCUGCAGCCCAGAAGGGCGAGCGAGGAGGUCAGUGUCCUUGUCUUCAUGCUGCCAGCUUUGGAUGUGAUGAAGUCACUUAUAUCUCUUGUUGCCCCUUUUUUGUAUUUAGAAAAUUAUUUUGAAUUAUAGUAGAUUAUUAUGAUUUUACAUUUUAUUUGAAAAUAAGUUCUAACUUGAGAAUGUGUCUACUGGAGCUGUAAGCGCACAGCCUGGAUGGCAUCAUCUGGCAGCUCACAAUCAUGUACAAAAUCAUUCUGCAUAUAAAAGAAGCAAUUUGCCAUUAAUUUAUAAUGUUUUUAUUGUGCUUUUCUUAUUGCAAAAGUAUUUCAUGCAGAAAAUUUGAAAAAUACUGAUAAGCAACAAAUAAAUAUAUAAAAACCACUUGAAUCUUGCCACCUAAAGAUAUCCACUGAUAACAUGUUAUAUUAUUCUUUAGGCUUUUUAAAUGCAUAUUUUCACAUAGGCAGUAUUAUGCUGUUUACAAUGUUUUUUGAACUUCUUUUUCUCUCAAUAAUAUGUCUGAAUAUUUUUCCGUGUCAUACAAUCUUCUAGAAUAUCAUAUUUCAUGGUUGUGUAGUAUUUUGUCAUGUAGAUAUAUCAUAAUUUAUUUGACUGUACCUUUUUUUAGGGACAUUUAAUUUAUAUCCAACAUUUUAUCAUUUUAAAUACUUCUGUCCUAAAAAUCUUUGUUGCUAAGUCUUUGUGCGUAAUCAUACUUUAUUCUUUAGGAUCAAAGUCUAAGGGUACAAAAAAUUUAAGGGUUUUGAUAUUUGUUGCCCACUUGACCCCAAGAAAGUUGUCUCAACGUAUACUUCUGUGCAUUGAAUCGCCCCUGGGACAAUAGCAGAUGAUAGAUUAUUUUAAUGUUUUGCCAAUCUGAUAGAUUAAAAGUGUCACAUAUGUAUUUAAAUUUCCUUGAUUAUUGACAUUGAACAAUUUUUGGACUUUUACAAUAUACUUACCGAUUUUUUUUAUCUAUAAAAGCUCUUUAUUUUAAUUUGUAUGUAUUUACAUAUUUAAGUGUCUAAAGCUCUGGAGACAAACUGCCUGGGUCGAGCCCGAGCUCUGUCGGGUUUGGUUGUGCUUACAAAGGCCUACCCCCAAGACUACAGGAAAGUUAACUUCUAUUUUUUUCAGGUGCUUUUAAGUCCGAUUUUCUACAUUUCUACAUUUAAAAACCUACGAUAGUGGCCGUGCUGGUUAUUCUCCCCUUUUCCCUCCAGAUCCGCUUCCUAUCCUUUCCAGCUGCUCUGUGCCAUAAGAGACUGAGGAACGGACUGCCUCAAUGGGCUGACCUGCCUUCUGGCUUUUGGUUGGGUCCAGGCAAUGGCUAGCAGUGAAAGGAAAGGCGGAGAGUGGACUAUUAGACUAUACAGAGCGUCAUGUGCUGGGCUGGAGAGUUCGGAAUUAAUUCUAUACCUAGAGGGAGACUGAGAGGGAUUUGACGUAGGGGAGGAAGAUCAAAGAUCAAAGUGCAAAGUAGGACAGUGAAUUUGAUGGCCCUGGGAAGCCUUGAGGAAGGCUGAAGACAGGAAGCCCCAUGGGGACUGCUGAGGUUGCAGCUAUGACGCUGAACUGGCAGAUGUUGACUGUGAGUGAGGAAAAUAAUAGAGACCUGAUUUAAGACACAUUUCCAAAGAAAAUGAACUGGUCUUCGGGGUGAAUAUUUUAAGUGUAAGGAAAUGAGUAGUGACACUACUGUGGUAUCAUUUCUAGCCCUGGCGAUUGCCUUUCUUGAGUGACAUCCCUCAUGGAACUUUGCAGGGGGAUCCCACUUGGCAGCUGGUAAAGAGAACAACCCCCUGCGUCAUCAUAUUACUAAAGCCACACAAUAUUUCUGCCCUUUCUCUUUUCUCUGGUUUCCAGGCCUUGGAAUAUUAUAAUUUCUUGAAAAGUUAUACUUAAAAUAACAACGACUAACUUCAUUGAGUACCACUCCCCCUCCUUUUUUUCUUAGUACUUACAUAUUAUCUCAUUUAAUAUUCUUGUUCCUAGUUAGCCUAAAUGUUAUUGCCUCAUUUUCAACUGAAAAUGCUAGUUGGGAGGGAGCAUGGAAUAGUGAAGAGCACGGGCAGGGGUCAAGCAGAGCUGGUUCCAAGCAAAAUGGGGCAGCUCUGUAUGUAUUUCCUCCUAGAGAUUCCCUAGCCUGCUCAUGUGUUGUCCUUUGGUAACUUCCUUAUCCCCUAAAUACUUUCCUUGAAAAUCUGAUUUCAUCUGGGUAAAGUAUAUGAGAAGGUAGGAAGGAGGGAGAAUUUAAUUACUUUGAGAGAGAUGGUGGAUUUGGCUGUCUUUACUGUUGGUGUUACUUUCUCUUAGGCAUUUUUCAAAAUAAGAAUUUUGGUCUAAUAAUUUAGCAAUGGUGAUUGUGUUGACUGUUCACAAUGGAAGAGACUUCAGGUACUAUAUAAUCCAAUCUCUUCAUUUUGCCCACAAGGACACCAAAAUUCAGAUGCCCCUCUCUAUCCCCUUGGUCUGUUCAACACCGGAAGUCUUUUGGCUUCCAUUAAAUCUAUUGGUGCCUGGUAAAAGGUGACAACCCUCAUCAUGAGCCCCGGGGCACUCCUCCAGCCCGCUGGUGAUUUCUGCAUGUUGACAGCACCUAUUCAGAUUUUAUAUUUGCUUUGUUGGGUGUUGAUUUUGAUGAGGACUAGAACCUGCUGGAGGCUACGUAGGGCGCAAAGAUGAGCGCAAGUGAUCUUUGCUCAGUGGGUUCAAUAGGCGAAAUGGAGGAAGUACAGCUGUGACCUGUGGGACAACAAGGCAUGAUUUUAUCUGGAAAGGUCUCCACAAGUAGCAGAAAUUCGGCAGGAUUAACCCAUUUUCAGUAGAAAAUGCUUUCAGGACAGGAAUGCUAUUCACUUUUCCUUGGUUUUAGAUUUUCCUCUUUGUCUUUUUCUCCAUUCUCCAAGUUUUCUGUCAUGAACGUCUUACCUUGGUCUUCAGAGAAAUUUAUUUUAUAUGUAUUUAUCUGUAUCUAUAUCAUAAUUUCUAAAAGAAAUAAAAUGCCUGGAGGAAGCAGCUCUGAAAACUCUGUGGGGAAUUUUGUGGGGAAGAUUGUAAGGGAAGCCCUGAACAACAUUUCCUAAAGUGCUCAGUGGGAAGCGAUCUUGGAAAAACCCUUCCUUGGCCAAAUACACUUGGAGUGAUGUGCUCCAGCCCCUUCUUGGACACUUAUAAUGCCCAUUAAGGGCUCUGGAACUUUCUGCAGGAAAAUAAAAUAAAACAAAAC
Non-coding RNA from Equus caballus (horse), 5115 nucleotides. Lineage: Eukaryota; Metazoa; Chordata; Mammalia; Perissodactyla; Equidae. The record is from RefSeq and is a predicted model, not a curated record.